This 380-nucleotide ribosomal RNA is filed under the name uncultured eukaryote. RNAcentral's name for it is "partial 18S ribosomal RNA". It matches the Rfam family "Eukaryotic small subunit ribosomal RNA", at positions 592 to 976 of the family's 1831-position model. The record is from RNAcentral.
CAAUAGCGUAUAUUAAAGUUGUUGCGGUUAAAAAGCUCGUAGUUGGAUUUCUGCUGAGGACGAUCGGUCCGCCCACUGGGUGAGUAUCUGGCUCGGCCUUGGCAUCUUCUUGGAGAACGUUGCUGCACUUGACUGUGUGGCGCGGUAUCCAGGACUUUUACUUUGAGGAAAUUAGAGUGUUUCAAGCAGGCGCACGCCUUGAAUACAUUAGCAUGGAAUAAUGAGAUAGGACCUUGGUUCUAUUUUGUUGGUUUCUAGAGCUGAGGUAAUGAUUAAUAGGGAUAGUUGGGGGCAUUCGUAUUUAACUGUCAGAGGUGAAAUUCUUGGAUUUGAUAAAGACGGACUACUGCGAAAGCAUUUGCCAAGGAUGUUUUCAUUGA